Molecule: long non-coding RNA, 839 nt
Organism: Glycine soja
Lineage: Eukaryota; Viridiplantae; Streptophyta; Magnoliopsida; Fabales; Fabaceae
Exons: 2
Source: RefSeq, a predicted model, not a curated record
GGGGACUUCCUUUUUACUGGAGGUGAAGACGGUGCAAUUCACAUGUAUGAGAUUGUUAAUUAUGGCUAUGAGUCUAAAGCUUGGCAUGUUGCUGUUUAGGUUCCUCACUCGGCUGCUGUGUAUUCUCUUGCCUUUGAGUUUCCAUGGCUUGUUUCCGCAUCAAGUGAUGGCAAGCUGGCUCUAAUUGAUGUGAGAAAGCUGUUGAAGAUUAGCAAGCGAGCUCUGGGGAAGAGAGUCUCAAAGGUAAAGCAUUUGGGUGGAGACAUAGUAGAGCCUCCACAGAGGAUGUUGCACGGAUUUAAGAGCAAUCUUUUCUCUGUGGAUAUAGGAGCUGAACGAAUUGUCUGUGGAGGUGAAGAAGGUGUUGUUAGGAUCUGGAAUUUCACAGAAGCUUUGGAAAUUGAACGGAGAGCCCGUGCAUUAAGAGGAAUACGAUUAGACAACAGAAUGAGGCGACGGAAACUCCAGACAGAGCUGAGCAAUAAAAGUGGUCGGAGUGAUCAGUGUUCAGUUGCAGCCAAGAACAAUGCUGUCACUUGUAUUUGGCCCAAACGUGGGAUGAGCGGAAAGCUGAAAGCAUAGUGACUGAGGCAGUCUAAUGUUUGCUUAUAUGCACCAAUUAUCAAUCCUUAUUUUUUUUUUUUUACAAAAUUGAUGUAUAGAAUAUUUUAGUUUCAAGCAGGUAAACUGACCUGACCAAUUUUAAGUUCUCUUUACGUAUUAUGAUAUGAUUAGUUUCUGUAGGUAAUGAUCAGAUCAGACUACACCACUCUACAUUUCUAUUUGUACGAUUCUGAAAAUGAUAGUGUUUCUUUCCAAGAAUUGUUUUUACAAUUUUA